CCCGGCGGCCCGCGAGCCCCAGCUCCAUGGUUAGCGUUUGGUCCCAGCGCCCGGCGGCGGCGACUCUGCAGGAGCGAGACGUGGUCCUUAAUGCCGGGAAGAACUGCGGCGACGUGCGAAGGGGAGAGCGCGGAGCUGGCGCUUCUCGUUUGGUCCCUGCAAAUAAGUUCGGUGGGAAGGAUUGCACGCCUCCUCCCCAGCCCCGGCCUGGGAGCGGCUCGGGAGGGCUCCCCUGGAGUGCCCGAGGGAGCGUUUGCACAACUGAGCCUGAAGAAGCCAACAAGAUCCGCGUUGACCUUGAAGGGACCCCAAAGUCAUCCAGGACCACCCACCUGCCACCACCAGCACUUACCAAAACUUGGGCCGAAGAAGAAGAGCUAGGAUUGGGGUCAUCGAGCUGCGCGGUGGCCAGCAAGGGCAAGCUUUGCUUCUAGAGGCUUUGAGAUCAUUCACAAAUGUGAGCCCACAUGCAUACCUGUGCACUGUCUCCCCCAUAAAAGCUGAUUCGUUUAGGGGGUUAUGGCAAAAAAGCUACAACUGCAGGAGUACCUUCUAUGGCCCAAAGUGGGGUGGUUGCAGGGCCUCUGGGUCACUGGGGCUUUGGGCCUAAGUGGACAGGUUGGAGGAGAGGGUUAGUGGGGCAGCCCGGGGCACACAUCUGAGAAGCCCCCAGAGAAUGGCCAAGUGAGUCCUCCCCGCCAAGCCCUGAGGUCCCCACCCCUGGCGCCCCAAAAACCCUGACCUCCCUGUCAGAGGCCAAGGGAAGAGUGGCCCCAAUCUGAAAGUCCUUCCUGAGAGGCACAUCUGUUUAGAUCCCUUCUGUGGCUUUCCUUUGCCCCCAGAAUGCUGUCUAAAUCCUCUAACCUGUCCCGUGGGCCAACUCUGGCACCAACCUUGCUGUGGGAGGCCCUGCAGGUGGGCUGGAAAUGCCCUCAGCUCUCCCUACCCCCACUCCCAGCCCGCAGGACCAUUGCCUGCAGGACCCCACACAGCCCCUCCUCCCUUGCAUCCUUGCUCAGGGUUGGAGACUUUUCCAGUCCAGCUGAGUGACCCCCCACCUCAGGCCUCAUCACCCCCCAGGUGUUCGGUGGAGACUGAAAGGUCCCCUACCAAUGGGUCCGUGAUUAAAGGAGCGAGAAUGAUACAAA
Neogale vison (American mink) is the source of this 1148-nucleotide long non-coding RNA. RefSeq lists it as uncharacterized. Lineage: Eukaryota; Metazoa; Chordata; Mammalia; Carnivora; Mustelidae. The record is from RefSeq and is a predicted model, not a curated record. The transcript is spliced from 2 exons.